UGAGUUUGAUCAUGGCUCAGAACGAACGCUGGCGGCAUGCCUUAUACAUGCAAGUCGAACGAGAAAGUCACUUCGGUGGCGAGUACAGUGGCGCACGGGUGAGUAACGCGUAGAUGAUCUACCCUUCAGUCUGGGACAACUCUUGGAAACGGGAGCUAAUACCGGAUAAAACCUUCGGGUUGGAAGAUUUAUCGCUGGGGGAUGAGUCUGCGUACCAUUAGCUUGUUGGUGGGGUAACGGCCUACCAAGGCGACGAUGGUUAGCGGGUCUGAGAGGACGAUCCGCCACACUGGAACUGAGACACGGUCCAGACUCCUACGGGAGGCAGCAGUAGGGAAUAUUGCGCAAUGGGGGCAACCCUGACGCAGCAAUGCCGCGUGAGUGAAGAAGGCCUCCGGGUCGUAAAGCUCUUUUAUGGGGGAAGAUGAUGACGGUACCCCAUGAAUAAGCACCGGCUAACUACGUGCCAGCAGCCGCGGUAAUACGUAGGGUGUGAGCGUUGUUCGGAAUUACUGGGCGUAAAGGGCGUGCAGGCGGAUUGGCAAGCCGGAGGUGAAAGCCCGGGGCUCAACCCCGGAGGGUCUUUCGGAACUG
RNAcentral lists this ribosomal RNA (594 nucleotides) under uncultured bacterium. RNAcentral describes it as "bacterial SSU rRNA". It matches the Rfam family "Bacterial small subunit ribosomal RNA", at positions 1 to 635 of the family's 1533-position model. The record is from RNAcentral.